CCGGGCAGAGCAGGCAGGCUGCAGGGGAUGGAGUGGGGGUUCAGCAUGGUGGGCAGACUGCAGGGGACGGUGUGGGGGUUUGGACAGAGCAGGCAGGCUGCAGGGGACAGUGUGGGGGUUCGGCAUGGUGGGCAGGCUGCAGAUGAUGCUUCUGGGGUCCGGGCAGGGCGAGCAGGCUGCAAGGGACAGUGUGGGGGUCCGGGCAGGGCGGGCAGGCUGCAAGGGACAGUGUGGGGAUCCGGGCAGGGUGGGCAGGCUGCAGGGGACGGUAUGGAGGUUCAGGCAUGGUGGGCAGGCUGCAGGGGACGCUGUGGGGGUCCAGGCAGGGUGGGCAGGCUGCAGGGGAUGCUUCUGGGGUCCGGGCAGGGCGGGCAGGCUGCAAGGGACAGUGUGGGGGUCCGGGCAGGGCGGGCAGGCUGCAGGGGACAGUGUGAGGGCUCGGGCAGGGCGCGUAGGCGGCCUGCGGUGGACGGGCAGGAGAAGCGCCCCGCUGGGGUGGAGGGCCAGAAGGGGCCGGCGUCACAAGCGGCAGGACAUGGUGCCCAGCCGGGGGCAGGAGUGAGGUGCAGGGUUAGCCAGGGUGGGCUUCAGUGUGUGGCCAGGGAAGGCAGCCACGGAAGCCAGCUCUGGCCGCAGGGAGACCGACAGUCCCCGGGUCCCUCCCCCCACAGCCCCCGUAGGGAGAGAAGUGGGGGCAGAAGACGGCGGUCUCUCCAGGCAGGCGGCGCAGUGCGACUGCGUUGGCCUUGUGCCAGUCGGCUCUCCGGGGAUUAAGACCAUGACACAGAAUAGGCCUGGAAGCAGGACCGCGUCUGCCCGGCGGCCUUAUUCCUGUCUCUCGUCGCUGCUCUUACCUUUGCCCUGGGUUUGGACUCUGACCCAGAAAUCCAAGUGGGUGCACAAAAAGGGAGCAGAUCCUUCCCCAAAAAGGGAGUCGGUUAUAGUCUGUGUCUCCAAGCAACCUCCGGGGAGCCCCUCUGCCCCCUCCCCUGCCCCCCACGGGAGCCCUGGAUAGACCCUGGGAAGGGUCAGCCCUGCCAGGCUCGUGCCCACGGCUCCGUCUGAACAGAGAAACCCUGGGCCUUUGCUUUCCUCCAAC
This 1099-nucleotide long non-coding RNA is filed under the name Felis catus (domestic cat). RNAcentral's name for it is "lncRNA (ENSFCAG00000053706.1)". Lineage: Eukaryota; Metazoa; Chordata; Mammalia; Carnivora; Felidae. The record is from RNAcentral.